This 253-nucleotide ribosomal RNA is filed under the name uncultured bacterium. Its description in RNAcentral is "partial 16S ribosomal RNA". It matches the Rfam family "Bacterial small subunit ribosomal RNA", at positions 524 to 776 of the family's 1533-position model. The record is from RNAcentral.
UACGUAGGGAGCAAGCGUUGUUCGGAUUUACUGGGCGUAAAGGGCGCGUAGGCGGCAUGUUAAGUCAGCUGUGAAAUCUCCGAGCUUAACUCGGAACUGUCAGCUGAUACUGAUGUGCUUGAGUGCGGAAGGGGCAAUCGGAAUUCUUGGUGUAGCGGUGAAAUGCGUAGAUAUCAGGAGGAACACCUGUGGUGUAGACAGCUUACUGGACCAUUUCUGACGCUGAGACACGAAAGCGUGGGUAGCAAACAGG